Long non-coding RNA from Gigantopelta aegis, 5884 nucleotides. RefSeq lists it as uncharacterized. Lineage: Eukaryota; Metazoa; Mollusca; Gastropoda; Neomphalida; Peltospiridae. The record is from RefSeq and is a predicted model, not a curated record. The transcript has 2 exons.
CCACUUUGACCAUUUCGUAUCACAUGACUCUCAUCUACUUCCGGGUUACUUAACUCAAACUUAUGUGAUGCUAAAACGGUUUGGGAAAAGACGAUUUGCUGCGAUCUCCUGAACUGCUUGUGUAUUUAUAUUCAUUUAGACUCAUUGGCAUAAUCAGACUCAGCAAAAAUGGCUAACUGUGGCUGGUUGUGGAGUAUGAUUUGGUUCAUCAUCCUCUUCGUGUUUGGCUGGCCUAUUGGAUUUUUCUGUGCUGUGUUCUAUGUCUUGCUCAGCCCAUGUGCAGCAUGUUGCUCUGGCUGUAUUGAACUCAUUAACCUACUAGAGCGAGGGGUCAAGUUACCACUAACAUGUGCUCAGAAUAUGGUAUCUGGGAAAUCCAUGUGUUAGUGGUAUUGGAAGCAUGAUACAAUCGGAACACAGUGGACCACAUCUUAGCUCAUUUACAAUUUGUUAGUGUGUAGGACAGUAGUACAUGUACUAAUUUGGUAAUUUCAAAAUAUAUAACCAAUUGUCUUCCAUCAUAUACUCUGCCUUGAAAUAUUAGAAUAUUCCUUUGUGCAUCUUAUAAUGUACACAUAAUUUAGUGUAUUGUUAUUCAUUGUAGUAGUUUGUUACAGGUCACUGUGAUGUUGGUCAAUGUUCUGUAUUGUAUUUCAUAAUCAUUGUCUCAAAUAUAAUGGAAACAAAAUGACCCAGAUGACUUCAUACAGAGACAAAUACCCCAAGGCUCGACCUCAACUGAAUUUGACUGUUUUAAGCCAGUUAGAAAAAAAAUGAACAAAAAAAAGAGUUAUUUUAGAAUGUGACAAUUUUCUCAAUCUGAACUCUAGUUUUUAAAACAUUUGGGUGCACUAUGCCUGUGAAUUUACAUGUCAUUAAAAGUUUUCUAUUCAUUUUAAUAAUCUGAGUCUACUUAAUAAAGUUUUUUUUUUAAAUUGCCUGUUUUAAUUUUUAGAUCUAUAUGUUUCUGAUAAUAGGUGCUAAUAUUCAGGUGCUUAAACUCUUCUUCUUUUUUAAAGAGUGGGUGGGAGCAGGAGCAGAUCCAUAUAUUAAUCAAGUAAAGAUGAAAAUGGAAAUGUCUUGGUAAUAUAUGAACAUAACAUUUUUGGAAGAACUUGCUUUUUCCUUUGUUGUAAAACCUUGACAAAAUGUGCAUAUUCCACAGUCAACAGGCUAGGAUUAAGAAUAUGGAGGCAUUAUGUCAUCAACCUAAGGCUGCCUUUCCAUUGGUGCGGUUUUACCUGCACGGUUAUUUCAGCCGCUAAGCGGUCCAAUGUGAUUAAAAUUAGCUCUACUGGUCUUAACCAGUAGAUCUAACAGCAUUGCAUGGACUCCCAUGUCCAAGUGACAUUUCAUCUAUAAAUAACAAUUUAAAUAUCGACCAAUUACACUUCGCCUUUUAUAGCAUUAUUCGGGAGCAUACAAAUUCUAAAAAUAUCGGGCGAGACUAUUUAUGCAAUAGAUGAACUUGUUGGUCUUUUUCAGCAUUGAAAAAAAUGGGGGGAAAGUGCAGUAAUAAACUCUGGAAUGUAUACUAGUAUAAACAGAUUUUAUGGCUAUACCAUCACGGGUUUUUUCCAUCUUGAAACAAAUUUUAUAUAAAAUUUUAUAUUGAAAUUAGUUUCCAGCAUACUUUGUAAUUCACCCGAAUCAUUUCGUAUACCCUCAGCAUAAUCCCAAAUGUUUUCAAAUUCUUUUCAAAUUACUUGCAUGAUUUUGCAAUUAAGGUUUUGAUUAGUCAAAUGAAAGGUCAACUGGACAUGAACUCCAAUGGGCUGCUGUUAGAUCCACAUGUAAUAGUGGAGCUAAUUUUAAUUAGAUUUCUAAGUGGUCACAAUCGAAUGCGGAAAUAAAUGAACAUCGAAAUAAAGUUAUUGUAUUGUAUUGUAUUGAUUUGCACCGACGUCUUUCCAUUGACACGGGUGCUAACCAUGCGGCAAAAAAAAGUUGAUCAUGUAUCAGAUUUUUUUUCCAGCUGUGCGGCUCGAACCGCAAAAUGAUUAUCCAUAAAAUGACAUGAUUUUGGGGGUAUUACCCAUGAUUACCCAUCUCCCACACUUGUGUGAUUUAUAGCAUCAUUUAAUUUUCAAGUUUUCGGAGUAGGCCAUUGUAGCACUCUUUGUACAAUCAGCGAGCAAUGUCCACACAUGAGCAAAUAGAAAUUUUAACUGACAUAAUUUUUACGAUGCAGUGGGCUGUUUGUGCCCUUUUAUCCACCCCUACCUACGGAUGUGUGAUGGCAGUAAAACAUAAUUGAUUCCAUGUGGCAUUGUUGUAUGCAAGGUACUAAUAAAUUGUUGUAUUGCCAUUUCCAAUAAAACAACAUAUGCUGUGUCUAUGCUGCUUCGUAUUAUGCCCUGCAUGAUAUCACUAAAAGUUGUAAUACCUGAUGCAUAUUACCAGCCUUUGCUUGGCUGAAUGAGGUGCACAGAGAAUGGUCAUUUUACUUAUAAGUGGACCUACAAAUACCAAAACAUAUUCCAGCUUCUCAGGAGACAUACGAAAAUACUAAUGAUAGUUUUCGCUAUUAAAUUGAAGCUCCUGCACCAGAUAACGGAAAGCAUCCUGCUCCAAUCUGCUCAUUAUUUAACAUUCCCAAAAUCUGUGUGUGUUAAUUCUCGUCUCCUAUAAUCCGUCACAUCCUCCUACACAUUUUGUGUUUUUUAAAUAAUUUCAGUUUAGUUUGAUUUAAGAAGAAAAGUAAAUGUUUUGGAAAUAACAAAAACCAACUAUUUUGUGUCCAAUUUAAAAAACAAUCUGCUCGGUAAUAAAUAAUUUGUAGUAAAUUACAUAGUAUGAAAAAAAGAAAGUGUUCCCUGUGGGAAGGAUUAUAAGUAAUAGUUCAAAUCUCGAUUUGAUCAGAUGUUUUUGUUUUCUGUAGAUGUUUCAUUAGUAAUGCAGCUUUCUCAUUUAACAAUGACACAAGAAAGGAACAGUGUCAUAAAAACGCUUCAGUGGAAAUGUGCUAGCCGUGCGGGUAGAACCACUUGGCAGCUAACCAUGCAGCAAUAACCACACUAAUGGAAAGGCAGCCUUAGUGUUAUAAAACAUUUUACGAAUGUUUCUGGGUGGGUUUUUUUACUAUCUCAGCACUACGAUAUCGUAAAACCAUCAUAGGCUAUGACUUCACUACAACACAUGCCAUAGCCUAUGAUUUGUUUGGAUAUCGUAGUGUUGAGAUAGCCCUGGUUAUUGAAACUUUUAUGUUUUGUCUUAUUUAGUAAAUUUUACUGUUACUAGUUGGAUGCGUUUAUACUGCUGAUUUUUCUUAAAUUAUUUAGAUACAUAUUGAUUACUUACUCUUCAUAUUAAUUGUGAAAUACGAGUAGAACCACUUGGUGGCUAACCGUGAGGCAAUAACCGCACUAAUGGGAAGACAGCCUUAGUGUUGCAAAACAUUUUACGAAUAUGUUUCUGGUUGUUUUUUGGGUUUUUUAAUUAUAAGGACAAAAUGAAUUAAAAAAAAAAAAAAAUUAAAUGAAUUAACUAAAUAAUAAUAUGCCAAAUUUUUAUACUUAUGUUAAUGCAAAUCUUUUUAAUUAUAUUUCAACAAGUAGAAAGAUUUUAAUACAUUUUUGAACAGUUUAAAAACAAAAAAACAAAACAAAUUAUAUUCAGAAUUUUGGCAUUUAUCAGUACAAUUUACAAUGAAACUGCCAUCAAUAUGAUUUCUCUAAUGAUUUUAACACAUUUGUAUAAAUAUAUAUAUACUCUACAAAUUUGCUUCAUGUCUUGUUUACUUGUGCCUUUCUUUAAUGUUUUUCAGAAUCGGUGUUAUAUUUGCAUUAAUGUGCUAUAUUUACUGUCUUUGUGAUUUAUUAUACUUUAGUGUAGGUAUGUGAUUUUCAUAGAUACAUUUUCAUUGUUUUCUUUUGACUACCUGGCAUUCUUUUCAUCAUUUAAAUUUAUUAUGUUUUCUGUUGGGUUGUUAGAUUACUGGUAACCAAUGUCAUAGACAUACCAUUUAUGAUUGAUUUGGCUUGUUAUUGCUUUGAAAUAUGCUCAUUUUUACAUCUAUUUUUAAUAGAAGUUCAUAUAUAUAUGUUUUAAUAUAUAUUUUCUAAUUCUAAGGGUGGUUUCUUUAUUUUAUGAAAGACAUAAUUUUGAUAUUUUGUAAGUUUCAGUAAUUUACAGUCUUAACGUGCAAUAGCUACAUGAUUUGUUGUAUGUACAAUGGCUUGUAGGUUGCACCUCAGGUACAGAUAAGUUAACAUUUACAGAAGUUGAAAAAAUUCAUCAACAUUAUCUCUCCUAAACAUACAUUGACAGUAAGAACGUUAGUACAAAUCAUCAAGUCCGUAUAAAGGACCUGAAGUAAAAGCUUCUAGAAGGAACAAACUUCUGGAUUGGAAUAGUUUGGGUACAUUUAUUUAUGUAAUUUGAAAUACCCCCCCCCCCCCACCACCACCACCACCACCACACACACACACCCCACACACCGGUAUAAAGAUUAUCUUAUAUAAUGAGAUAUUACUUGUCUUUAUUUUAUACCGAUACAUACUCUGUUUCAAUGAUAAUUGAUUUUUAUUAAAUGAUUUAAAUUGUUUUUGCCACAAAUGAAUACUAUUUACAAAAAUAUUAUUUAAUUGUUACUCUUGCUAUUUUUACAGAUGUUUUUGAAUCUCUGCACUACGGUAAUAUGAUUAGUGUAUCUAUAAAUUAAUUAUAGAUAAAAUUGAGACCUGAUGCACUCAACCUAUUUACUGAUUGGUGCUGCUGUCUAUAUAAUACUUAGUAAAACAUAGUAGGAGAAACUAAAUUUACAAGACUUGGCAGCCAUUCUGCUGUAGAUAGUACUUUUUGUUAUGUGUAUUAAAUAGACGUAAAACUUAAACAAUCAACAAACAUACACAAAUAUUGACUAGUCAAACACAAUGCCAGACUACUUGCACCAAUCUUAACAUGUCUUUUUCAUUGUGUUUUUUUUGUUGUUGGUAAUAUAGUUCCUCUAGUAUUUCAGUUUUAAUCAUUUAAAUUUCCAUAUGUGUACUGCCUUUCAUAUAUUUAUAUUUAUAUGCAUUGUAAUUUUAAAAAAAAAUCAUAUAAUUUCUCUACGUCUAGUGAAUUGUUCAGCCUUAAUAUGGAAUUGUAUUGUUACAUUUGUUUAAUUACCAGAUUCAUUUCUAGUCUUUGGAACGAUAAAUAAAAAAAGCUAUUGCAAAAUUACUGAAGCCAGUUUAAAAAAAAAAAUCCAACCCUGUAUUUUGUCUCAGUAUCCAAUGUGUUCAAGAGUUUAAAUGCAGAUAUCAUACGGAACAAAGUACUUUAAUAUUUAACAGUAUGUGUAUCAAUACAAUUCCUUUUAAGUGAUUUGUAUGAUAAUUAUAUCCUAGUUAUACCAUUAGUACCAUUUAUUACUUCACAUUUUGAACUUUGAAUAAGUUUUACCUCUGUUCAAGAUCAAUGGUAGUUUCAGAUCACUUCAUCAAUUUUCCAUAUUUCAUACCUUAAAUUUUCCAACUAUUUUUCAUGAGAUACAAAAUCAAAUGGGUUUUUUCCAAGUGAGAGUAUAUGCAACCACCGAAAGUUAAUAACAGCUACCUUAACUGUUCACUUGCAUAUUACUGUAUUUCAUGACAGUUUCUCAUAAAAUUCCAACAUAUACUAGUAUUAAUUUAUUUGGUUGAUUGCAUUUUAAUGUAGUUUGUUUGGAUAUAUUAGUACAAUUCACAAAUUAUGCUAGUGAUCUGGAACUGCCAUUAUGUCUGUAUUUGUACAAGUCUCAGAAGGGUUUUUUUUACUGUCCAUUAUCGGAUAGUAACAUAUUUGUGCAUUCCCAAUUCAUUCCUUCUGAUGGUGAAAGUUAAUUGUUCUCUUUUGAGGAUGCUGUUUGUUUCUUUAAAACCUGUAAAAGUACUUUAAAAUUAAACUGACUGAAAUCUUU